This 2416-nucleotide long non-coding RNA is filed under the name Pan troglodytes (chimpanzee). RNAcentral's name for it is "lncRNA (ENSPTRG00000054595.1)". Lineage: Eukaryota; Metazoa; Chordata; Mammalia; Primates; Hominidae. The record is from RNAcentral.
UGACUAAUGAUUAACAUUUGAAAAUGGAACAUGAUAGGAAAAUACCACCAAUCACGGCAAAACCGUCUGUCAAAAGAGCAGAGGGCAACAACAACAAAAACGCUAUUCAAAGAAUAUCCUCUUCCAAGAUGAGAAUGUGCCAUUCAGAAGACGUCUUCAGAUUCCAUUUACCCAGCUGGAGUGGCAACACCCCUCUAGGUCAGGCACUGUGGGCCUUCUGCCUGUGAUUCCAUCCUCCCCGCACCUCCAGCUCACCAGGUAGGUGUCUAUCCAUGCAGAAAUGAUGGCUGAAUUAAAUUGAAUAAAUGUUAGAACUCCAAAAUAAAACAACAUAUUAUCUAAAUGGGCACAAGCUAUCUAAUCUGUGUUUCACUUCUCCUGCCAGAAAUGGAAAGCUAUCACUCCAAAGGCAUGUUAAGCAAAACAAAAUAAUACUUCCAAAGAAGGUCUAGCUUCUGUUCUGUGACAAUUUGGUGAUCAUUCAUCAGAUGGACAAAAAAGCCAAAAGUGUCAAACCAACCAGAACUUAAAACGAUGGUCAGGAACUUCUGACCUAUCCUUUGUGGCAGUUUCAAGGAGCCCAGUAGAAGAUUUGGCCCCAGCUAGUCACUAUGAUCUCUCUACCUGCACCCACGGGCUAGGACUAGAGACCCAUCUCAUCCCAGGGGUGUCAAUCAUAGGCCUAUACACACUCUGCACAGUUCUAGGGAAAUUUAGGUGAAAGGAGUGGGGAAAGAAUCAACCUAGAUGUUCCUGGGGCCCAUCCUGACCAAGGCCCUUGGUAUGGCUUCAAACCCCCAAAAUGACAAAGAGGACCUCAUGUUUGCUGCCCCAACGAACCUGAUGUAAUUUCACAAUAGAUCCAGUUCCAUUAACAGAGGCCUCUGGCUCAGUUUUAGCCCUUAGAAAAAACUGCAAGUGAAGUCAGUUACCCUAAUAUUAUUAUCAUCCCUGUCAAAUGCUCCUCGGUUAAGGAAAUUGUAAACAACUGUAUCCUUUAUAUCUUGGAAUAAGAUUCCAUUUACCCAGCUGGAGUGGCAACACCCCUCUAGGUCAGGCACUGUGGGCCUUCUGCCUGUGAUUCCAUCCUCCCCGCACCUCCAGCUCACCAGGUAGGUGUCUAUCCAUGCAGAAAUGGUGGCUGAAUUAAAUUGAAUAAAUGUUAGAACUCCAAAACAAAACAAAAACCAAAUAGUCAUUUUCAUCCACAUUCACACGUCAAGUCUUUUUCUUUAAAGGCUGAAGGGGAUAGCAGGUGAAAGUAGAAAGAGCAGAUGGUAUGAGAAAACACCCCUCACCCAACCAACUUGGUCAUUGAUUUUUUUAAAAAAGGAGUCUUUAUCUUUACACAGAAGGUAGAAGUUAUAAUUUAACUCUCAAGUUAACUAUAAGUCCCCUUGCCUUUCAAGUCAUAUGAACACAAAAGGCUUUAAUGAUUUUUUAACUAAAGAAGGAAAAAACAUACCAUAUGAAAAUCACUUCUCCCCCUAACACGAAUACACUGGCCACUCAAAGAUAGGUCUGUGAGAUCCUUAUCCACAGGAUCUAUUAAUAAGAGCAGCACAGGAAACUCGGCACAAUCACAAUCCAAAGUUUAGUUUGACAAACACGGGAAGGCCACUGGCUUAAGAGUCUCUGCAUAUGCAGUUAAAACCUCAUUUGAACACCUGCAUAAUCAUUUCCCUCCUAAAAAAAAAAAGGAGAGUGGAUUUUUACUUGUAAGUUCUCAGUUUCAAGUAGACCAAAUCUAAUGAACAUCUUUUUCCACCACAGUGAAGAAAAGAAAAAGGAAAUUCCAUGGACUCCAGUAACAAUCAAGUUUGCAGAAACACAAAAUCAUUUUUACAAGACACUUAUCUCUCAAGACUAUUCACAUACACAAGAGGGGAAUUUUUACAGGCUAACGUGACAUAAAAUUUGUAUAUAAAAUCAUCCCUUAAUGCCCCAGAGGACUUACUCCUUUACAAAAUCCUUUAAAAAAAGAAGACAAUGAUCAUCACUGGGUUAUGAGAUUAUGAGUACUUUUUAUUGUUCUUUUUCACUUAUUUUCAAGCUUUUAUACAAAGUUCAAUUUUUGCCUUUAAAAUCAGAAAAAAAAAAAUAAUUAAAUCCUAUGGUAGAAUUCGAGAUGAAGAAUCUCUCUGAGGGCUGUCAGCCUUUGUGUUAAUUUUUUUUUUUUUUUUAAACAGGGUCUCACUCUGCCACCCAGGCUGGAGUGCAGCGGUGCCAUCUCAAUGUAACUUCCAUCCCCUAGGGUUCAAGCAAAUCUCCCGCCUCAGCCUCGUGAGUAGCUGGGAUUACAAGUGCACACCAUCACGCCUGGCUAAUUUUUAUUUAUUUUUAUUUUACUUUAUUUUAUUUUACUGAGACGGAGUCUUGCUCUGCCGCCCAGGCUGGAGUGCAGUGGCGCGAUCUC